AACGAACGCUGGCGGCAUGCCUAACACAUGCAAGUCGAACGAACCCUUCGGGGUUAGUGACGCACGGGUGCGUAACGCGUGGGGAUCUGCCCAAAGGUUCGGAAUAACUCAGAGAAAUUUGAGCUAAUACCGGAUAAUGUCUUCGGACCAAAGAUUUAUUGCCUUUGGAUGAACCCGCGUAGGAUUAGCUUGUUGGUGGGGUAAAGGCCUACCAAGGCGACGAUCCUUAGCUGGUCUGAGAGGAUGAUCAGCCACACUGGGACUGAGACACGGCCCAGACUCCUACGGGAGGCAGCAGUGGGGAAUAUUGGACAAUGGGCGAAAGCCUGAUCCAGCAAUGCCGCGUGAGUGAUGAAGGCCUUAGGGUUGUAAAGCUCUUUUACCAGGGAUGAUAAUGACAGUACCUGGAGAAUAAGCUCCGGCUAACUCCGUG
Molecule: ribosomal RNA, 433 nt
Filed under: uncultured bacterium
Lineage: Bacteria
Description: bacterial SSU rRNA
Rfam family: Bacterial small subunit ribosomal RNA
Source: RNAcentral